GACGUACGCUGGCGGCGUGCUUAACACAUGCAAGUCGAACGGAAAGGCCCUGCUUUUGUGGGGUGCUCGAGUGGCGAACGGGUGAGUAACACGUGAGUAACCUGCCCUUGACUUUGGGAUAACUUCAGGAAACUGGGGCUAAUACCGGAUAGGAGCUCCUGCCGCAUGGUGGGGGUUGGAAAGUUUCGGCGGUUGGGGAUGGACUCGCGGCUUAUCAGCUUGUUGGUGGGGUAGUGGCUUACCAAGGCUUUGACGGGUAGCCGGCCUGAGAGGGUGACCGGCCACAUUGGGACUGAGAUACGGCCCAGACUCCUACGGGAGGCAGCAGUGGGGAAUAUUGCACAAUGGGCGGAAGCCUGAUGCAGCAACGCCGCGUGCGGGAUGACGGCCUUCGGGUUGUAAACCGCUUUCGCCUGUGACGAAGCGUGAGUGACGGUAAUGGGUAAAGAAGCACCGGCUAACUACGUGCCAGCAGCCGCGGUGAUACGUAGGGUGCGAGCGUUGUCCGGAUUUAUUGGGCGUAAAGGGCUCGUAGGUGGUUGAUCGCGUCGGAAGUGUAAUCUUGGGGCUUAACCCUGAGCGUGCUUUCGAUACGGGUUGACUUGAGGAAGGUAGGGGAGAAUGGAAUUCCUGGUGGAGCGGUGGAAUGCGCAGAUAUCAGGAGGAACACCAGUGGCGAAGGCGGUUCUCUGGGCCUUUCCUGACGCUGAGGAGCGAAAGCGUGGGGAGCGAACAGGCUUAGAUACCCUGGUAGUCCACGCUGUAAACGGUGGGUACUAGGUGUGGGGUCCAUUCCACGGGUUCCGUGCCGUAGCUAACGCUUUAAGUACCCCGCCUGGGGAGUACGGCCGCAAGGCUAAAACUCAAAGGAAUUGACGGGGCCCCGCACAAGCGGCGGAGCAUGCGGAUUAAUUCGAUGCAACGCGUAGAACCUUACCUGGGUUUGACAUGGAUCGGGAGUGCUCAGAGAUGGGUGUGCCUCUUUUGGGGUCGGUUCACAGGUGGUGCAUGCCUGUCGUCAGCUCGUGUCGUGAGAUGUUGGGUUAAGUCCCGCAACGAGCGCAACCCUUGUUCACUGUUGCCAGCACGUUAUGGUGGGGACUCAGUGGAGACCGCCGGGGUCAACUCGGAGGAAGGUGGGGAUGACGUCAAGUCAUCAUGCCCCUUAUGUCCAGGGCUUCACGCAUGCUACAAUGGCUGGUACAGAGAGUGGCGAGCCUGUGAGGGUGAGCGAAUCUCGGAAAGCCGGUCUCAGUUCGGAUUGGGGUCUGCAACUCGACCUCAUGAAGUCGGAGUCGCUAGUAAUCGCAGAUCAGCAACGCUGCGGUGAAUACGUUCCCGGGGCU
Molecule: ribosomal RNA, 1346 nt
Filed under: uncultured bacterium
Lineage: Bacteria
Description: partial 16S ribosomal RNA
Rfam family: Bacterial small subunit ribosomal RNA
Source: RNAcentral